Molecule: unclassified non-coding RNA, 450 nt
Filed under: Hevea brasiliensis (rubber tree)
Lineage: Eukaryota; Viridiplantae; Streptophyta; Magnoliopsida; Malpighiales; Euphorbiaceae
Source: RNAcentral
GUAAUAUCUCAACUGCUUCUGAUGGGUCUGUUGAGCACAAAGAAAGCUGCUAAGUCUACUCCGUUCCUCGUGGUGUUGCCUGUUUUAACCUUAACAUUUCACAAGUAUUGUAAGAGUCGAUUUGAACCUGCAUUCAGAAAGUAUCCCAUUGAGGAAGCAAUGGAAAAGGACUUGCAAGACCGAUCUUCUGAAUCUGACGCCAACUUGAAAGCAUACUUGGCUGAUGCAUAUCUACAUCCUAUUUUCCACUCAUUUGAAGAGAUUGAACUGGAGGACGUUAAAAUCGACAAAAAGCCUCCUCCUCACAGCCCCAGCCCCCCACUGAGUGAACUCAGUUCUCCAUCACCAACUCAUGAUGCCAAAGACCUCAAGGAAGUCGAGCCAUCUGGGACGUCUCAAACAUCUCACAACGUCCAGCACUAUGAAGUCGGACAACCAGGGGACUUGUUU